GACGAACGCUGGCGGCGUGCCUAAUACAUGCAAGUUGAGCGCUGAAGGUUGGUACUUGUACCAACUGGAUGAGCAGCGAACGGGUGAGUAACGCGUGGGGAAUCUGCCUUUGAGCGGGGGACAACAUUUGGAAACGAAUGCUAAUACCGCAUAAAAACUUUAAACACAAGUUUUAAGUUUGAAAGAUGCAAUUGCAUCACUCAAAGAUGAUCCCGCGUUGUAUUAGCUAGUUGGUGUGGUAAAGGCUCACCAAGGCGAUGAUACAUAGCCGACCUGAGAGGGUGAUCGGCCACAUUGGGACUGAGACACGGCCCAAACUCCUACGGGAGGCAGCAGUAGGGAAUCUUCGGCAAUGGACGAAAGUCUGACCGAGCAACGCCGCGUGAGUGAAGAAGGGUUUCGGAUCGUAAAACUCUGUUGGUAGAGAAGAACGUUGGUGAGAGUGGAAAGCUCAUCAAGUGACGGUAACUACCCAGAAAGGGACGGCUAACUACGUG
Molecule: ribosomal RNA, 497 nt
Filed under: uncultured bacterium
Lineage: Bacteria
Description: partial 16S ribosomal RNA
Rfam family: Bacterial small subunit ribosomal RNA
Source: RNAcentral